Molecule: unclassified non-coding RNA, 1881 nt
Filed under: Helicoverpa zea (corn earworm)
Lineage: Eukaryota; Metazoa; Arthropoda; Insecta; Lepidoptera; Noctuidae
Description: uncharacterized LOC124645443, transcript variant X2
Source: RNAcentral
CAGUGUAUUUGCAAUAAAUAGCUGUUUUUAAUUACUUAAUUUAAAGAGUAAUUUUUGAUUUUCAAAGUUGCCAACGAACUUUUUGUACUUCGAAGCAAAGAGUUUCUACAGGCAAGGUGAACGAAAAAAGUGCAACAGUGACAUAGCAGUGAUCCGGUUCCGUUUGACGAGUGCUUAGAACUCCUGCUACUCAAAGAUAUGGCCGGUCCUACGCCCAGUCCUUUAUUCCCAACUGGAAAACCUAUCGUCCUUCGUGGAUACGAGCCUGCUCGGCCCCCACCAGAACCCCAGCCCGAAGUACUGCAUUACUUCCUUGUGACCUGCCUACUUAGUAACUGCAAAAACCCCAAUCACCAUGUAUAUUAAGUACCGAGCUUCUGCUGGUCUCCAAGGAGCUACGCUGGAGUCCGGCUGGCAGAUCAGACAGCUGCAUCAACAGUAGCAGAGUACCGGUCGCUGAACGUAACACCCUGGUGCCCAGCUGUCGCCGGUUCCACUGGAUGCCGAACCCAACGUACUUUAGAAACAUUAAUUCUAAGAACUAAGCUUACCUACUUACGGCCGAUCUCAAUACUCGAUCUAUCUAUUUUAGCUUACACACUGCUUGACAGGUAUUUAACAUACUACUGAAGGACUAAUGUCUACAUUCUAUCUCCAGUAAGUAAGUCAACAGAUGGAUAAAAUAUUGGGAUCGACCGCAAGAAUGCUUGAUAAUCCUUUUUGUCUGAUAUGAUAUGGUUUUCUUCCAUGAAGUCGUCUUCACGAGAAAGCAUGCCUUGUCAUCGCAUUCUGCUUGAGCCCACCGCGCAAGAGAGGGUGUAAAACCAGCUAUGUAGAAGCAUAAGAAUCGGGUUUAGGCGUCUUGUUAACGAUAACGGAUGAUAGUUCGUUUUUUGUAAGGGCGACUGUUCAAUAAGUUAGUAUAGUAACUAUUAUAUAAUCUGUGGUAUAGGUGAUUGUGAACGCAACUUCUAUAUCUAUUGCUACGAAACUACGCGUCGAAGCCCAUCGCGUUAGCAAAUUCCUACAUUAAGCCGUUGUAUCAUCAUCAUCAUCAUCUCAGCCAUAGGACGUCCACUGCUGAACAUAGGCCUCCCCCUUAGAUCUCCACAGAUACCUGUUGGAGGCGACCUGCAUCCAGCGUCUUCCGGCGACCUUUAUAAGGUCGUCUGUCCACCUUGUAUACGCAAGACAAUUGAUAUUCUAGCAAAAUCAAAAAUCGGUUAUUCAAAGUUGGCUGAAAAACAGCACUUUUUCAGGUCAGAAUUACAUGAGACAGCUCCAAAAUCACUUCGUAUUAUUAUUAGCGACAUACCAGCAGUCAAUCUAUUGUUAUAAAAAUCGUUCCGUCACAUCGUCCGUUGUCGUCAACAAGAGGCCUCAGUGGUCUUAUUAUGACGUAUCUAUAUAUAUUCCACUUCAUGACGUUAGUAUGUAAGAUAUCUACCGUAGACCGUAAACGGACACAUUAAAAAAUCUUUGUCGAGUUCUCAAUACCUACCUGUGUAUGUAGGUUCAUGAUCAGUGAUAUGUCAGUAUUAAUAUUCUCAUUUAAUCAUAAUAAACUAACUUAUACCCUUUCAUUACCUAUAUAUCGAUAUAACAUGUGUAACUUAUAGUUCUAACAUUCUUAACCUAGAUCUGGUAAAAAUAGAUUGUAAGGUAUAACUCAGUUAUUCGCAAUUUAGUUUUAGUAGCUCUUAUUAACAGUUACAAGUAGACAUUUUAUUUUCACCAAUAGCAGCUUGAUCGUCAUGAUUUAGCAAUUUUCUGUGAAGAUAAAACCUAUUUAUAAAAUUCACUUCGUCUAAUAGAUCUGUGGUAAUUUGUCUUAUUGUUUACCCUUUUAUGAAUGCUCAAUAAAAUGAAAAUUCUGCCAUC